Non-coding RNA from Benincasa hispida (wax gourd), 1395 nucleotides. The record is from RefSeq and is a predicted model, not a curated record. NCBI's taxonomy places the organism in Eukaryota, Viridiplantae, Streptophyta, Magnoliopsida, Cucurbitales, Cucurbitaceae.
AUCUAUUUCGUUUUAAUUUAACAGAAACAUCAUAAAUCAAGGAAAAAAACACUCUAAUCUCUCUCUCUUUCUCUUUGUUCUUCCUUGGAUUCAAACAUGAAAUGUUUAAGCAUGCAGGUUCAUAAAUGAAAAGAGAAGAGAAAGAUGAACACAAAGAUGUAUAGUGGUUCAGUGUUUACACCUACAUCUACUCUUCAAAUGAUCUUCAAGCUUUAUUCAUCUUCUAGAUUACAAAAUACCAAUAAACAAAGACAAGUUCUUCUUCGCACCUCCCUCUUAAACUCUAUUUCUCUGUAUUUUCAUAUACAAGCUACUCACACAGAAAAUGAAUAUUAUGUUGUGCAUUUUUUUUCUUGCUUUUGCUUUUAUUAUAGAUAACUAGAAAACAGCCGAGUAAAUUUCUUAUAACUAUUUAACAUCCACUAACUAUUUUCUGUUUUAUUUGUUUUGACAGGAGUUGGAGAUUUUGGUUCAGCUUCUCAAUAAAUAUCCCUUUUGAAGCAAAAUCUCCUUGAAGAUCAUCAAACAUGUGGUUGGAGAUUUUUCAUCUUCUUUCUCAAUUGGCUCUGAGCGAAGGGUUCUUUCCAAGAAAAAGUUUACAAAGAAGAAAAGUUCUUCUCUUCCCUCUCCCCCUAUCCAUCUCCUUCCCUCUUCCAAGGAUUCAAGCAAAGCCCACAACUCUUGCUUGAAUCCUUUAUCCCAAGAGAAUAUAGAGGGUUCUCAAGUGGUGGUGUUCGCGUGAAAAAGGAGAUCCGAGUGGAGAAGAAGUUCCGUUUGUGGCUUGUACGAGGGAGUUUUUGAAGAAAGGGUUCUGUAAAAGGAUCCCUCUCAUCUGGAUGUGAUAUCGAUUCAUUCAUGUACCCCUCAUGAACUCGGGACGUUACAUGCGCACCAGCUUCCACUUGGUUCGUCCCCGAACUACAUCUUACUGGGAGAGGAGUUGGAGAUUUUGGUUUAACAUCUCAACAAAAGUAUAAUCAUAAAGAGAAACUAUAGUGUAUUUAAAAAACAAGAUAUAUCUUUAUAAAAAAGAAAAACAUAUGUAGUUGAGAAAAUACCCUAUAUUAAAGAAAAAAAAAAACAACAUAACCAAGUAUAUAAUCGUUUGUAGAAGCCAAAAAAUACAACACAACACAUAUAGUAAGAGACUGUUUGGGGCGCUAAGAUGAUAUAGGAUGUGGGGAGUUCUAAUGUCUGGGGAGUUCUAAUGUAUGUGUUUGGGUGUGUAGAGUUGUUAUGUCUGAGUUGAUAUGUCUGUGUUUGGAUGUGCAAAGUUGUAAGUCUGAGUUCAUGUCUGUGUUUGGGUGUGUAGAGUUGUUAUGUCUGAGUUCAUAUGUCUGUGUUUAGGUGUACAAAAUUGUCAUAUUAGUGCUAUCUGGUUUAGUUUUUAUACUC